UUACAGUUCAACAGCUAAGGUUUAAUUUAGCUGUCAGAAGUUUAACAWAUGUUGAAAGGAGUUCUGUGGAAAGAAUAUAAACAAUUAAUAACUUACCUGUUGUACAUAGUUUUUUGAAAAACCUCAAUUUAGGGAGAGUUUGAGUGGAGCCAAGACCACAUUUGCAUAGAAUGCUACGAAAUAUUUGACAUUGCAGGAUUUCUCCCAGAAAACUUCAUACUGCACAUGUCAAYUUGUACGGAUUGUCCGUAUAUUACACAGAUUUUCUCCCAUUUUGCUGGUUGGCUAUAUGGACAUGAAAAGAAACCUUAAAGAUUUUUUUCAAAAGCUAAGCUUCAAAUUUAUUUUAUGUUUCAGUGCCUGUAGAAUGUACAAGAAAGGAGGCAAGUAAGGCUUGGUGACCCACCAGGCUGUCGGAAACCCUGCAUUGCAUUAAGGUGCUAGCAAUACUUCUUUGGUUUUUAACCUGCUCUGACUAGCCAUUGAUUCAUUCAUCUGGUCAGGCUUAAACUCAGUUUCUCAAAACUGACUAUAACUUAGUUUUACAUGUCGGGUUUACUCUUUAGAGUCCUUGAACCCACGUGCGUAAUUAAUUGAGUCAAAUUAAUGCGGCUUAAUUUGACUCAACACGGGAAACCUCACCCGGCCCGGACACGGAAAGGAUUGACAGAUUGAUAGCUCUUUCUCGAUUCUGUGGGGGGUGGUGCAUGGCCGUUCUUAGUUGGUGKAGCGAUUUGUCUGGUUAAUUCCGAUAACGAACGAGACUCCGGCAUGCUAAAUAGUUACGCGGCCCCGUGCGGUCGGCGUCCAACUUCUUAGAGGGACAAGUGGCUCUCAGCCACGCGAGAUUAAGCAAUAACUGGUCUGUGAUGCCCUUAGAUGUCCGGGGCUGCACGCGCGCCACACUGAGCGGGCCAGCGUGUGUCUACCCUUCGCCGAGAGGCGUGGGUAACCCGCUGAACCCCGCUCGUGAUGGAGAUCGGGGAUUGCAACUAUUUCCCAUGAACGAGGAAUUCCCAGUAAGCGCGGGUCAUAAGCUCGCGUUGAUUAAGUCCCUGCCCUUUGUAUACACCGCCUGUCGCUACUACCGAUUGGAUGGUUUAGUGAGGUCCUCGGAUCGGCCCCGCGGGGAUUGGCGACGGUCCCUGCGGAGCGCCGAGAAGACGAUCGAACUUGACUAUCUAGAGGAAGUAAAAGUCGUAACAAGGUUUCUGUAGGUGAACCUGCGGAAG
RNAcentral lists this ribosomal RNA (1232 nucleotides) under Austrofundulus limnaeus. Its description in RNAcentral is "bacterial SSU rRNA". Lineage: Eukaryota; Metazoa; Chordata; Actinopteri; Cyprinodontiformes; Rivulidae. The record is from RNAcentral.